AUCCCUGUAGCGCAAAAGGAUUGCGCUUUGGACUUCUAAUUCAAAGGUAGUGGUUUCGAAUCCCACCUGGAAUG
Non-coding RNA from Trichonephila clavata, 74 nucleotides. The record is from the annotation of a GenBank genome assembly. Lineage: Eukaryota; Metazoa; Arthropoda; Arachnida; Araneae; Nephilidae.